Molecule: unclassified non-coding RNA, 170 nt
Filed under: uncultured Oidiodendron
Lineage: Eukaryota; Fungi; Ascomycota; Leotiomycetes; Myxotrichaceae
Description: sequence contains ITS1
Source: RNAcentral
CAGAGUUCAUGCCCUCCGGGUAGAUCUCCCACCCAUUGCUAUAACUACUCUCGUUGCUUUGGCGGGCCGCUGGGCCCUGCCCGGCCGCCGGCCCCGGCUGGCGCGUGCCCGCCAGAGACCUCACAGACUCUGAAUGUUAGUGUCGUCCGAGUAACUAUAUAUAAUCGUUA